UACGUAGGGGGCUAGCGUUGUCCGGAUUUAUUGGGCGUAAAGAGCGUGUAGGCGGCCAGGUAGGUCUGCUGUGAAAACUCGAGGCUUAACCUCGAGAUGUCGGCGGAAACCAUCUGGCUAGAGUCCGGAAGAGGAGAGUGGAAUUCCUGGUGUAGCGGUGAAAUGCGCAGAUAUCAGGAAGAACACCAGUGGCGAAGGCGCUCUACUGGGCCACAACUGACGCUGAGGGACGAAAGCUAGGGGAGCGAAAGGG
RNAcentral lists this ribosomal RNA (253 nucleotides) under uncultured bacterium. RNAcentral's name for it is "partial 16S ribosomal RNA". It matches the Rfam family "Bacterial small subunit ribosomal RNA", at positions 524 to 776 of the family's 1533-position model. The record is from RNAcentral.